Molecule: long non-coding RNA, 488 nt
Organism: Scylla paramamosain (green mud crab)
Lineage: Eukaryota; Metazoa; Arthropoda; Malacostraca; Decapoda; Portunidae
Exons: 2
Source: RefSeq, a predicted model, not a curated record
GAAAUUUUACUUCAUAAUCACGUAGUCAUAGUGGAUGUGGAGUGGGGAAAGGGAAGUGAGGAAGUGAGAAUAUUAUAUGACAGAUUAUUUGAUAACAUGUCACCUUUAGUGAGUGUUAGUGUGUGUAAUAGUGAGUGUGGUUGAAGGAGCAGUGAUACGUGGCGCUGGGGAGGGAGAGCGGGUGGCUGGCUGGCUGGCUACAUUGUUUUGGUCAACACUGGUCAGUCUUGCCCCACACGCUGUUUUAACCAGUGUUUCUGGAUUCCCGGCAGCUUUUCCCUGUACCGAGCACCGCCAAGCAGCACCAGAGAGGCAGGAAUACGUAAGCAUGAUGAGAUGGAGGUUUUAACUCCACCACCACCACCACCACUACUGUGACUUACACCAGCACCGUAGCCACUAUCACCUCUUCAACAGCACUUGAACCAUCUCCGCCACCAGCACCACAGCCACUUCCUCUACCACCACCACCACCACCACCACCACCA